CCCAUUCCGAAGAGGGUAACACCUUUUGAGCUCGGUCUCGUGGGUUUUGAAGAGUUUCAAAGCCUUCGGAUUCGUGAGAUUGGGAUCUCUUGGCGUACUUUCUCGUACGGUUAGUCAACAUCGGUUUUGAAUGUCAUAAAAUGACUGGAGGAAUGUAGCUUCGAUCUCGUAUUGAAGUGUUAUAGCCUUUGGUAGAUGUGAUGUUUGAGAUCGAGGAUUGCAACGGAUACCCUUCUGGGCUAUUCGUCUGAUCUCUGAAACGUUGCCUUGAUGUCGAAAGCUUGCUUAUGAUGUUAGGGUAUUACGGUCAAAAGGUUAGAACGGAUUAAAUUCGUUAAGGUGGUUUGACGUAGAGUACCCUAACAUCAUAAGCAAGCUUUCAAUCAAGGCGACGUUUUCAGAGAUAAACAAAUAACCAGAAGGGUAUCCGUUUGCAUCGCGAUUUCUAAAUUCAAACUUCCCAGGCUAUUAAAUUUCUUACAAGGUUGAAACUACUUCCUCCCAUCUUCUUUUGACCUUCAAAACAAUUUGAACAACACUACCAAAAAUUUACCCAGCGUUCCCAUUUUGGAACCCAAGGGUUUAAAUUUUUCAAACCCCCAAACCCAAGUAAAAAAUGAUUUCCCCUAGGUUGAACAAAAUUCGUUCUUUCCCUUUUCAAAAAAGA
This 667-nucleotide ribosomal RNA is filed under the name uncultured Funneliformis. RNAcentral describes it as "LSU rRNA". Lineage: Eukaryota; Fungi; Glomeromycota; Glomeromycetes; Glomerales; Glomeraceae. The record is from RNAcentral.